RNAcentral lists this ribosomal RNA (497 nucleotides) under uncultured bacterium. RNAcentral describes it as "partial 16S ribosomal RNA". It matches the Rfam family "Bacterial small subunit ribosomal RNA", at positions 28 to 507 of the family's 1533-position model. The record is from RNAcentral.
GAUGAACGCUGGCGGCGUGCCUAAUACAUGCAAGUCGAGCGAACAGACGAGGAGCUUGCUCCUCUGACGUUAGCGGCGGACGGGUGAGUAACACGUGGAUAACCUACCUAUAAGACUGGGAUAACUUCGUGAAACCGGAGCUAAUACCGGAUAAUAUAUUGAACCGCAUGGUUCAAUAGUGAAAGACGGUUUUGCUGUCACUUAUAGAUGGAUCCGCGCCGCAUUAGCUAGUUGGUAAGGUAACGGCUUACCAAGGCAACGAUGCGUAGCCGAUCUGAGAGGGUCAUUGGCCACACUGAAACUUUCACACGUUCCAGACGCUGACGGGAGGCAGCAGUAGGGAAUCUUCCACAAUGGUCGAAAGCCUGACGGAGCAACGCCGCGCGAGGGAUGAAGGUUUUCGGAUCGUAAAACUCUGUUAUUAGGGAAGAACAAAUGUUUAAGUAACUAUGCACGUCUUGACGGUACCUAAUCAGAAAGACACGGCUAACUACGUG